GUCGACGGUGCCCGGCGUGGCCCGGGCGGCCGGAUUCGGCACGGCGGAGAGCAUGCGGCGCGCGUUCCACCGCGUGCUCGGGAUCUCGCCGUCGGCG
RNAcentral lists this transfer RNA (97 nucleotides) under Tsukamurella sp. PLM1. Its description in RNAcentral is "tRNA-Arg". Lineage: Bacteria; Bacillati; Actinomycetota; Actinomycetes; Mycobacteriales; Tsukamurellaceae. The record is from RNAcentral.